AAUCCUGGUGGCGAGUGGCGAACGGGUGAGUAAUAUAUCGGAACGUGCCGUCGUGGGGGAUAACGUAGCGAAAGCUACGCUAAUACCGCAUACGAUCUACGGAUGAAANCGGGGGAUCGCAAGACCUCGCGCGAUUGGAGCGGCCGAUAUCAGAUUAGGUAGUUGGUGAGGUAAAGGCUCACCAAGCCGACGAUCUGUAGCUGGUCUGAGAGGACGACCAGCCACACUGGGACUGAGACACGGCCCAGACUCCUACGGGAGGCAGCAGUGGGGAAUUUUGGACAAUGGGCGCAAGCCUGAUCCAGCAAUGCCGCGUGCAGGAUGAAGGCCUUCGGGUUGUAAACUGCUUUUGUACGGAACGAAACGGUGAGCUCUAAUACAGUUUGCUAAUGACGGUACCGUAAGAAUAAGCACCGGCUAACUACGUG
This 428-nucleotide ribosomal RNA is filed under the name uncultured bacterium. Its description in RNAcentral is "bacterial SSU rRNA". It matches the Rfam family "Bacterial small subunit ribosomal RNA", at positions 81 to 507 of the family's 1533-position model. The record is from RNAcentral.